GUUAUAUGGUCAAGCGAUGAAGCGCAUACAGUGUCUGCUUGGCAGCCAGAGGCGAUGAAGGACGUGACAGCCUGCGAUAAGGCUCGGCGAGGUGGCAAAUAACCUGUGACCCGGGCAUUUCGAAUGGGGAAACCCACUCAUCACAAGAUGAGUAUCACACCCUGAAUCCAUAGGGUGUGGGGCGAACCGGGGAACUGAAACAUCUCAGUACCCCGAGGAACAGAAAUCAACCGAGAUUCCCCAGUAGCGGCGAGCGACCGGGAAGUAUAAGCGGCACAACCGAUAGGCGAACAGGCUGGGAAGCCUGACCAUAGCAGGUGAUAGUCCGUAGCCGAAAUCCGAGUGUCUUGAAAACGGUAGGUCGGGGGACGAAACCUUGACUGAAGACGGGGGACCAUCCUCCAGGCUAAAUACUCCUGGCUGACCGAUGAGUGAACCAGUACCGUGAGGGAAAGGCGAAAGAACCCCGGAGGGGUGGAAAUAGAUCCUGAAACCGUAUGCGUACAAGCAGUGGAGCGGGCUUGGUCCCGUGACCGCGUACCUUUGUAUAAUGGGUCAGCGACUUAUUUUCAGUGGCGAGCUUAACCGAUUAGGGGAGGCGUAGAAACCGAGUCUUAACUGGGCGACCAGUCGCUGGAAAUAGACCCGAAACCGGGCGAUCUAUCCAUGAGCAGGGUGAAGGUUGAGUAACAUCAACUGGAGGCCCGAACCAGGAUCUGUUGAAAAGAUUUGAUGACUUGUGGAUCGGGUGAAAGGCUAAUCAAGCCCGGAGAUAGCUGGUUCUCCUCGAAAGCUAUUUAGGUAGCGCCUCACGUAUCACCGCCGGGGUAGAGCACUGUUUCGGCUAGGGUCAUCCCGACUUACCAACCCGAGGCAAACUCCGAAUACCGGUGAGUGAGCGUGGAGACACACAGCGGGUGCUAACGUCCGUUAGAAAGGGAAACAACCCAGACCGUCAGCUAAGGUCCCGAAAUCCUGGUUGAGGGGAAACGAUGUGGAAGGCUCAGACAGCUAGGAGGUUGGCUGAAGCAGCCAUCCUUUAAAGAAAGCGUAAUAGCUCACUAGUCGAGUCGGCCUGCGCGGAAGAUGUAACGGGCUAAACCAGGUACCGAAGCUACGGGCUUGUGUAUCACCUAAAGCGAUUGCUUACGCGAGCGAAGCGAGGAAAGCGCUCCACCACAGACGAGUGGGCGUGACCGUAAGCCGAGCCAGCAGCGAGUGCUUUCUGGAUGCAAUAAUAAGCGGUAGAGGAGCGUCGUGCCGAAUGAAGGUCCAGCCGAGAAGUGGGCUGGAGAAUACGAGUGCGAAUGCCGACAUGAGUAACGACAAUGGGGUGAAACCCACGCCAAAUAACACCCGCGGCUUGGUUCGGCGCGAACGGAGCGAGCGAGUCACCCGCGCGAGCCGAAAGAAGUAGUCGAUGUGGAAACGGGUCAAUAUUCCCGUACCUCACGUGGUCAAGCAAGGGGACGAAGAAGUGCCAGCACAGCAGGCGCGAGUAGUCCCAGGAGAGGCUGGUGGCUGAGGGUUCAGGCAACUGAACCUCGAGGCCGAGAGUAUGAGACGAACUGCUCAUCGGGCGGAAGUCAUCGAUGCCACGCUUCCAGGAAAAGCCUCUAAGCUUCAGAUCACGUGAGACCGUACCCCAAACCGACACAGGUGGUCAGGGUGAGAAUCCCCAGGCGCUUGAGAGAACUCGGGUGAAGGAACUAGGCAAAAUGGUGCCGUAACUUCGAGAAGGCACGCCGGCUUAGGGUGAAAGCACUGCUGCUGGAGCCCGAACCGGUCGAAGAUACCAGGUGGCUGCAACUGUUUAUUAAAAACACAGCACUCUGCCAACGCGUAAGCGGACGUAUAGGGUGUGACGCCUGCCCGGUGCCGGAAGGUUAAGUGAUGGCGUUAGCUCCGGCGAAGCGCUUGAUCGAAGCCCGGUAAACGGCGGCCGUAACUAUAACGGUCCUAAGGUAGCGAAAUUCCUUGUCGGGUAAGUUCCGACCUGCACGAAUGGCGUAAUGAUGGCCACGCCGGUUCCACCGAGACUCAGUGAAAUUGAAAUCGCCGUGAAGAUGCGGUGUACCCGCGGCUAGACGGAAGAACCCGUGAACCUUUACUAUAGCUUCACACUGGACUGAUGUUGCUUGUGUAGGAUAGCUGGGAGGCUUGGAACCCGGACGCCAGUUCGGGGCCGACCUUGAAAUACCAGCCUGGCAUCAUUGGCGUUCUAACUGGCACCGUGAUCCGGUGUGAGGACAGUGUGGUGGGUAGUUUGACUGGGGCGGUCUCCUCCCAAAGCGUAACGGAGGAGCACGAAGGUACCCUCAGCACGGUCGGACAUCGUGCAAUGAGUGCAAGAGCAUAGGGUGCUUGACUGCGAGACAGACGUCGAGCAGGUGCGAGAGCAGGUUCAGUGAUCCGGUGGUUCUGUAUGGAAGGGCCAUCGCUCAACGGAUAAAAGGUACCCGGGGAUAACAGGCUGAUACCGCCAAGAGUUCACAUCGACGGCGGUGUUUGCACCCUCGAUGUCAGCUCAUCACAUCCUGGGGCUGAAGUCGGUCCCAAGGGUAUGGCUGUUCGCCAUUUAAAGUGGUACGCGAGCUGGGUUUAGAACGUCGUGAGACAGUUCGGUCCCCUAUCUGCCGUGGGCGUUGGAUGUUUGAAGGGCUGCUCCUAGUACGGGACCGGGUGGACGCACCUCUGGUGUUCCGGUUGUCACGCCAGUGGCAUUGCCGGGUAGCUAUGUGCGGACGGGAUAACCGCUGAAGGCAUCUAAGCGGGAAGCCCCCUUCAAGAUGAGACAUCCCGAGGCCUCGAGCCUCCUGAAGGGCCCAGCAAGACCAGCUGGUUGAUAGGCCGGGUGUGGACGCUGCAAGGCGUUGAGCUAACCGGUACUAAUGGCCCGUGAGGCUUGACCAUAUAACAAAG
This 2922-nucleotide ribosomal RNA is filed under the name Billgrantia gudaonensis. Its description in RNAcentral is "Halomonas gudaonensis 23S ribosomal RNA". It matches the Rfam family "Bacterial large subunit ribosomal RNA". Lineage: Bacteria; Pseudomonadati; Pseudomonadota; Gammaproteobacteria; Oceanospirillales; Halomonadaceae. The record is from RNAcentral.